Molecule: ribosomal RNA, 489 nt
Organism: Eimeria tenella
Lineage: Eukaryota; Apicomplexa; Conoidasida; Eucoccidiorida; Eimeriidae
Source: RefSeq, a predicted model, not a curated record
GGAAAAACGCAAGAGACGUGCCUAACACAUGCAAAUUUAAUGGUUAAUAAAUUAACUAUAGUGAAUUGGUGAGUAAAAUAUGAAAAUUUAAUUUUAGAUUGGAAGUAUUUCUAAUAACUUAGAAGUAAUCUCUGAUAAGUGCAUAUAUGUUGCUUUUAAAAAGUUAAUACUGUCUAAAAAAAAGUUCAUAUCUGAUUAGCUAGUUAGUAAUAUAAAAAUUUACUAAGGCGAAGAUCAGUAGCUGCCCUGAGAGGGGGACCAGCCACAUUGGGAUUGAAAUACAGCCCAAACUCCUACGGGAGGCUGCAGUGGGGAAUCUUCUGCAAUGAGCGCAAGCUUGACAGAGCGUCGUCACGUGAAGGAAGACAGCUUAUUUUUUAGUUGUAAACUUCUUUUACUUAAAAGUGAAUAUUGACACUUAAGUAAAUAAAGUAUCGGCAAACUCCGUGCCAGCAGCCGCGGUAAAACGGGGGAUACAAGCGUUAUCCG